RNAcentral lists this ribosomal RNA (419 nucleotides) under bacterium. RNAcentral describes it as "partial 16S ribosomal RNA". It matches the Rfam family "Bacterial small subunit ribosomal RNA", at positions 355 to 776 of the family's 1533-position model. The record is from RNAcentral.
UGGGGGAUAUUGCACAAUGGGCGAAAGCCUGAUGCAGCGACGCCGCGUGGGGGAUGAAGGCCUUCGGGUUGUAAACUUCUUUUGCUCUGAACAAGGCGCACCAUGGGGUGUGUUGAGUGUAGGGGUUGAUUAGCGCCGGCUAACUACGUGCCAGCAGCCGCGGUAAUACGUAGGGCGCGAGCGUUGUCCGGAAUUAUUGGGCGUAAAGGGCUUGUAGGUGGCUGGUUGCGUCUGUCGUGAAAGCUCAUGGCUUAACUGUGGGUUUGCGGUGGGUACGGGCUGGCUUGAGUGCAGUAGGGGAGGCUGGAAUUCCUGGUGUAGCGGUGGGAUGAGCAGAUACCAGGAGGAAUACCGGUGGCGAAGGCGUGUCUCUGGGCUGUUACUGACACUGAGGAGCGAAAGCAUGGGGAGCGAACAGG